This 401-nucleotide long non-coding RNA is filed under the name Salvator merianae (Argentine black and white tegu). Its description in RNAcentral is "lncRNA (ENSSMRG00000015578.1)". Lineage: Eukaryota; Metazoa; Chordata; Lepidosauria; Squamata; Teiidae. The record is from RNAcentral.
UGCUGCGCAUGCGUUGUUGCUUAGGUGGUUGCUGACGGAACUGGAGCGAAGUUGAUGCUGACGCCGGCUCAGCGAGCAGUGCACGAAGUUACAGGUUAAGAUGUGAGAAAAUCAGUUCCUCUGAAAGUUUCAAGAUAAAAGUGACGUGGCAAAUCCAGAUAUCAAGAUGGAGUAAUAGCUUUGGUGCAGACAUGGUCUUAAAUCUGCUUGCUUGGCAUAUUGCUCCCUUUUGAAGACAUUUUCAGCUUGAGGAGGGGACUUCAGAUCGAGAUCUUGAACUACUUCAGUUCCAGCAAUGUCUGCUUUUGCUUCAAGGAAGGCAAAAACUGUGAAGCUCUGAGGCUUAUUCUGUCAGGUUUGUACUGAUGUUCAGUAGCAUAACUCUGUNGUUCUCCAGAUUU